This 77-nucleotide small RNA is filed under the name Gammaproteobacteria bacterium. RNAcentral describes it as "sX9 sRNA". It matches the Rfam family "Xanthomonas sRNA sX9". The record is from RNAcentral. Lineage: Bacteria; Pseudomonadati; Pseudomonadota; Gammaproteobacteria.
ACCUACAGGCGUGUAGGCUCCGGUUCCUGCGCCCCGGCCUCCCCCGGCUGACGGCCGCUCGCUACGUUUUGCAAACA